This 87-nucleotide transfer RNA is filed under the name Serratia symbiotica. Its description in RNAcentral is "transfer RNA Leucine". It matches the Rfam family "tRNA". From Rfam's summary of the family: Transfer RNA (tRNA) molecules are approximately 80 nucleotides in length. Their secondary structure includes four short double-helical elements and three loops (D, anti-codon, and T loops). Further hydrogen bonds mediate the characteristic L-shaped molecular structure. tRNAs have two regions of fundamental functional importance: the anti-codon, which is responsible for specific mRNA codon recognition, and the 3' end, to which the tRNAs corresponding amino acid is attached (by aminoacyl-tRNA synthetases). tRNAs cope with the degeneracy of the genetic code in two manners: having more than one tRNA (with a specific anti-codon) for a particular amino acid; and 'wobble' base-pairing, i.e. permitting non-standard base-pairing at the 3rd anti-codon position. Lineage: Bacteria; Pseudomonadati; Pseudomonadota; Gammaproteobacteria; Enterobacterales; Yersiniaceae. The record is from RNAcentral.
ACCGAGGUGGUGAAAUAGGUAGACACGCUAUCUUGAGGUGGUAGUGCCAUAAUAGGUUUAUGGGUUCGAAUCCCAUCCUCGGUAUCA